GGCUAGGGAGAGAAGGCUGUUCUCCAACACCCCGCUGAAGCCGGGGCUGUCGCAGGUUCAAGUCCUGCCCUCGGCA
Molecule: transfer RNA, 76 nt
Filed under: Candidatus Bathyarchaeota archaeon
Lineage: Archaea; Thermoproteati; Candidatus Bathyarchaeota
Description: tRNA-Phe
Source: RNAcentral